Molecule: ribosomal RNA, 491 nt
Filed under: uncultured bacterium
Lineage: Bacteria
Description: bacterial SSU rRNA
Rfam family: Bacterial small subunit ribosomal RNA
Source: RNAcentral
AUUGAACGCUGGCGGCAGGCCUAACACAUGCAAGUCGAGCGGUAGCACGGGAGAGCUUGCUCUCUGGGUGACGAGCGGCGGACGGGUGAGUAAUGUCUGGGAAACUGCCUGAUGGAGGGGGAUAACUACUGGAAACGGUAGCUAAUACCGCAUGAUGUCGCAAGACCAAAGUGGGGGACCUUCGGGCCUCACGCCAUCGGAUGUGCCCAGAUGGGAUUAGCUAGUAGGUGGGGUAAUGGCUCACCUAGGCGACGAUCCCUAGCUGGUCUGAGAGGAUGACCAGCCACACUGGAACUGAGACACGGUCCAGACUCCUACGGGAGGCAGCAGUGGGGAAUAUUGCACAAUGGGCGCAAGCCUGAUGCAGCCAUGCCGCGUGUGUGAAGAAGGCCUUAGGGUUGUAAAGCACUUUCAGCGAGGAGGAAGGCGUUGUAGUUAAUAGCUGCAACGAUUGACGUUACUCGCAGAAGAAGCACCGGCUAACUCCGUGC